This 405-nucleotide long non-coding RNA is filed under the name Panax ginseng (ginseng). RNAcentral's name for it is "long non-coding RNA (PGIN_LNC015587)". The record is from RNAcentral. Lineage: Eukaryota; Viridiplantae; Streptophyta; Magnoliopsida; Apiales; Araliaceae.
GGUGUUGGUGCUGGUUCUGGUAAGAGCAAUUGACAGUCGUCAAUGGCCACUCUUUCUGCUUCCUCAACCUCACUCCUCUGUACCUCUCCUUCAUCUUCCAAUCUUCCCACACCUUCUCUCUCUCUUCCUCAACGCCUUUCUCUCUCCUCUGCAUCCUCUCAAUAUCUCUCCUCUUUCUCUCUCUUCAUUGCUCAUAAUAGUACAUAUCAUGCAAGGAGGAGUAAUUCUCUUUCCUCCUUCACUGUUAAGGCCAGUUCUUCUGCAGAGAAGAAGAAAGUGCUCAUAGUCAAUACCAACAGUGGUGGGCAUGCAGUCAUUGGCUUCUAUCUUGGUAAACAGCUUCUGGGUUCUGGCCAUCAAGUCACCAUAUUGACUGUUGGAGAAGAGAGCUCGGAUAAGAUGAAC